This is a small nuclear RNA of Capra hircus (goat), 107 nucleotides long. Lineage: Eukaryota; Metazoa; Chordata; Mammalia; Artiodactyla; Bovidae. The record is from Ensembl.
GUGCUCACUUCACCAGCACAUAUACUAAAAUUGGAAUGAUCCAGAGAAGAUUAGCAUGGCCCCUGUGCAAAGAUGACACAGAAAUUUGUGAAGCAUUCCUUAUUUUU